UCGCGUCGAACCACCGACCCCCGCUCCGGUGUCGAAAGGUGCCUUGAUAGCACGGCUCAUUAUUUGCUCAUGCUUUUUUUUUUGCGUGUCUGCGUGUACGCUUGCGUGUGCUCUAUUCUGUCGUGCCUGUGGCAGGGCCCCCUUGUGCAUGUUGUACGCGCGCCCAUCUGCCCUUUGUCCGUGUCGGGCUCCCUCUGCCUCUGCGCGUGUGUGUCAUAGAAUAGAAAAGGGGCGACUACGAAGAAAGGAUUGACGAAAGCUGAGUCACCGAAGCAAGGACGCGGACUCACAGUCGGCUGUGCGCACAUCCACCCACCACUUCCCACACAUACACGCGUGCUUCAGCAAGCAGCCCUCUUCCGCGCACCCACAUCAUCCUCUCCAGUCGCCCACUUUGCGAUCUCUCUCUCUCCCAUCAUUUACUUUUUAUAACUAUUUGUUCCUCUUCGUGCACGAUUACCCUCUCAUCCGCACCACUCUGUCGCAGCCACCGUGAUCGCCACAGGCACGCAUACCAAGAGACACGGAGAGCGAGAGCGAAGAGCGAGGGGCCUGUCUGCGGUGUUCAGCAGUUCGCGGAAAGCAAACACCACCUCAGCAGUAAAACAAGGUACAAAGUUAGUAGCCCAAGCCGCGGAAGGGUGACUUCAGCGCCGCACGCGUUGCAGGUCUUGCUUUUGGCCGGCAUCCCCCCCCCCCAAUAACCCAAGCGCUUCCCUGCGCGGCAGCCAUCGCCUCUCUCUGUGUGUAUUGAGUGUAUGCUGCUGUGUAACCUGUGUCGGAUCGUCGGUAGUUCCAGCCUUGUGUUUUUUUUUUGUUUACAUCUUGUACUUGCGUGCGGUGUUUAAGCGGCGUGUGUGUGUGUGUGUGUGUGUGGCCGUUGGCGAGAAAGCGGGGGGGGAACAGGCAUAGGCACGCUUACUCGCAGCACAGCAACAGGAGCCGUGUAGCGCUGGUUUAUCCGAUUACUUAUCGCAGUGUGUAUUUGGAGCACCUGCUGUGGCGAAUCGCUGCUGGUCUGCUGCUCAGUUGGCGAUAGUGGUGUAUAUCUCUGUGUGUGUGCGCUGUAGUGUGUCUCUCGUCUCCAUCGUUUCUUUAACCUUGUCCCCCUUCACGUCACAUCGCUCUUGGUGUGUUGUGCUUUCGUUCUCCGGUUCUUUGUGUUUCUUUUUUCCCCUUCUCUGUGCCUGCUGUUGGUCGUACGUGCGAGCAAGGUGAAGCGGUGGCCGGAACACAAGAAGGACGUCUGGCAUCAUCACCUCGGCGCGCGGUGUAUGUGCGUGUGUGUGUGUGACAGGUAACACGAAAAUAAAGUUUCCCUUCUCCUUGUGUGUGUGUGGGAGGGGGAGAGAGGUGGUACGAGUAGUGUUGGUGGCGGGUUUGUGCACGCGUGCGUGGUGGUGCGCACGGCUUGGCUAUCACCGUGACCUGUUGAACUGUGCGUGGGCCUCAUCGUCUUUCCUUCUCAGUUGACCUCUUGUCUUUUUUUUUUUUAAAUCGCCCUCCCUUCUUUUCGGCUCCCUCCCUCCUACACGUUGCGGCUGCUCCUGGCAUACAUUAGUGGCCACACAGCAGUAAAGGCGUGUUUGCGUCUGUGUUUCGUUGGAUAUAUGGUUGCCGUUCCUUUUUGUUAUUGUUUCCUCCCCGCCCGUCCCUCCGCCCCCCCCUCCUCGCCACCUGCCCCUUUUCCAUACACUUGCAUACACAGCAGCAGCAACGUGCGCACUUGUGCACACAUCUUUCCGCAACUCCUUUGCAUCUAUAUCUAGAUAGUCUCCUUCUCUUCUGUUCGUGCAGGGCCGGAAGAAAAACGCCCGAUUUUUCGCGUCAUGUUCAACACGGAUGCUGCGGACGCAUUUUACCUGCGCCUUAGCAAUGCCUCCUGCCUUGACGUCUCUAAAGAGAGAUGCAGCCCUACCUCCUCUCGUCAAGGCUUCCUGCGGCACCGCGGUGAUAGCCUCAGUGGGCCUGGUGACUCCUACGCUUAUGCGAUCAAUGACGCGGAGCACCACACCUCGCACAGCAGCAAGAUGCUAGCGUGGCCGUCUCAGUCUCAGAGCGGCUCUUCGCGUGCCUAUACGCGUCUCGAAGGAGUCAUAGAGCCUGGAACGCCGCACAACCCCGUCAACUCUUACCCUUGCCCCUCGACGACAACAGCAAACCCAUCGUCCGCCACGGCAACAGGUGGCGCGCUGCACUUACCGGCCGCGCACCGUCGCGUAGGUGCGCCGCUGCCCGUGGCCGGCAGCGGUGUGUGGGAGCGUGCAGACUAUCUUCCCCGUUCAUGCCGUGCGUCGUCAGCCGCGGCGCCGCCAGCAUCAGUAGUUCACUCCAGCGACGCCUCCAGAGCUACCGCGAUCACGUCCACCCGCUUUGCCGGUGGCGGCGCAGGCGCCAACUUACUUCCCCAGCGCGUGCGUAUCCUCAACCGCAACGGCGUGAAUGGCGCUCGCUUGUACGGGUCGAUGGGGAUGACGACGCUUUCUGUCGCGCGGGGUGUCCGAGCAGCUUCGGGCACGGGAUCGACUCAGCGACCCUCUAGCGCCCCUUCGACGGUGUCGGCUGCGGCAAGCGGCCGGCGCGACGGUGUUUCUUCAGCUGCGUGUACGACGAACACCUACGGCAGUAGGGGUGAUGAGUUUGGAAGGCUUCUGGCCGCCUCUGCGUCACAAUCUCCGCUCGCCUCCGCUUCCCGCUCGCAGAGGGCGACGGAGCAUGAGCUACGCACAUCAGCCCCUGUCGCCCCUUCAAUCCAUGGGCUAGCUCGCUACUCGUCAGAAGACGCGGCGGUUGCCCGACGUAGCGCAGCCGCCAGCAACGGCAGCGGCGCGACGUCAUUGACAGCGGGGCAACGGGUGCGGCCGUACUUGCCGCCGUCCUCAUCAGCAAUCUACAAGCGCACCGCGACGGCGGCACUGGUGCAGGACGAUGGGGAUUAUACCGCAGUUUCCGCCAUGCCGGCACACUCCACGCGGUGGUCCGCAGACCCGCCAUCGUCACCGGCGUCUGUGCGUUCAGCCCCCACAGACGCAAGCUCACUAUUAGGCAAAGGCGAGUCAGCUCUCAGCGCCAGGUCUCCAAAGAGAGCGCACUCGUACAAGGUCUCGUCGACAGUCGCUGAGCAGGCUCCACGCAGCAGCGAGGUGGACGUUGCAGAGCACGACAUCGACGAAGGCGCAUCGACGUGGUGGACGGUCGACAUCGUCAUCAACUCUGCUCCGUGCCACGGCAGCUCCGCGUACGAGGAGGCCGCAGCAAUGAAGGCGGCAGCGCUGUUGCGGUCACCAGCCGACAUGCGCACGCUCCGGUCGGUUCAGUGCCGGGCACCGGUGCUACCGGCCGAUGCGUCAGCAGACGAGGCAUGGACCAUGACUCAGUCUCUUCUGCGCCGCGUCGCCCUUGCAUCCGUCGGCGCCUCCUCGCCGCCGUGUGUACCGCAGGGCUACUUCUGUUUCAACACAGAUUUUAACGAAUACGUGCAGCUUUCCGCGGACACGCUGCCGCUGGCCAGUACGCUGUUCAGCGUCGUGAUGGUAGCAUCAUCAGUCGACACUGCCAUCGCGGAGGAGGGUCGCGCAGGCUACGCAGAGAUGCCGGAUGCAACGACGGAUGAAGCAAAGACGGCCUUUGUGUCGACACCAUACCCCGCUACUCUCGAUCACUACCUGCUCACGGGCGCAGCGCCAUCAUGUAACCACGAUGGCGCAGCGCCACAACACCACUGGAGUGACGCCGCCGAGCGUGGCGCGGCUGCGGCCACCCCGCGUCCCCCUAAAGGCCGUCGUAGCUCGGUGCUUCGCCAUGCACUGCGCCCCUCGUUGCAGCCACAUAGCUGGGAGGGCUCAACGCCGUCGCCGCUCCCGCCGAAGCCGCCUGCUGCCGCGGGCACUGCAAGCCGACACCGACCUGCAUUCGACGGGAGCGCCAGCAGCCACCAACAUCUCACCCCAGUGGAGGAAGUGUCCCCAUACCCACAACUCCCUCGUAGGUCCUACGAGUCGGCGGUGAUGUCGCCAGGUGCGCGGGGCAACGACGACUCCGCCGGCGUGAUUCUUACGUACGACGGCGAUGCAGGCGAGGACGACAGCUACCCAAGGAUCUCGUACAGUGUGGAGAGCGAUGCUGCUGAUGCUGUCUACGGUGCCGCGUCUCCUCCUGCGCCGCCGACGUUGUGCAAAGGUCGUGCGCACGACUACUACGUGGAUGGCGAUUGCGCCGCGAGGGAGGAGAUGGACGUUACUGCUGGUAGCCGAUACGGUAAUGACGCCGUGGGCUACAUCGAUGACGACGACGAAGCUGCCCCACAAGCGGAGGCAGAGGAGGUCUUUGGCGCGAAUGUAGUGUGCACUACCAAGGCGGCGGAGCAUCAGCUUCGCGCGAGCUGCGACAGCAGCAGCAGCAGCAACCCUGAGCGCACCAGCCGCCUUCGGUGCUUUCAUAACGCGCCACCAUCAUCGAAACCGUUGACGCAACCGCUUUCAAGCCCCUCAGCUACGCACGGCGUACCCGCCCGGCCGGGAAGCGAUAGCAAUGCCUCGCCACAGCGUCCUCCAACGGCCCCGACCCAAGGCUACAGCCGCGUAGGGGUUUUUGCGGCAAUGCAAAGGCCCUCUCCAUCGACCCUGCCCGCUACCCCUCUACAGCCGACGCCGCAACAACUGUUCUUUGACGAUCCAGUCCUGCAGCGCCACUUCGAGAAUGCGUGCAAGCAGUCACCACCAUCUCCACAGCACGCUGCAGGGAGCGCAGAGGGUGGCGGUGGCGGCUGCUACCCUAUCUAUGUGCCGUCCCCGCCGCGCACGGUUCCAGUGCCACCAUCGCCACCGCUGCCGCCAGCACCGCCGGCGCACGGCGCCUACAGGCCUGGGGCGCAUCCAUACUUUGACCCCUCCCCGUCGACGGCAUCGUCCGCGACUGGGUUUGCGCCGACGCCGCCAUUCAGCGUAUAUGGCACGGAGGCGUUGACAGCGAUCAUGAAUCGAGCGCAGCGUGACCCCCUGAAUGUUUUGCUGCAGAGGUCCGCCCAGCCACGGCAGCAGGCACCCGGCUCUCAGGUGCCUUUCCGGCCACCACCAGCACCAGCCUCUAGCGGUGAUGUCGCUGUCUCCGCCGCCCCUCUACGAGCGGUGACGUCAACGAGGCCUCAGGCACCCCGCGCAGCAGUAGACUCCGCGGUGGACUCUGCUGCCGCCGCUACGGGUGGAAUUGCCUCCACUGCUCACCGGCUCAUCGCGCCCUCGCUCAGCUCGCUCUCUCGUCCUCUGCCGCUCCCUGUGACGGGCGCCGUCGUCCCUCAGGCUGUCGUAGCACCGCCACCAACGCCAGCGGGGUACUGCACAGAGACACCAAUGCGCCACGACCGCUCUCCCUCUCCGCAAAAAGAGGAGCGUUCUGCAACGACGGCCGUCGAGGUGGAUGUGCCGCGUGAAGUAGAGGCGGAUGCCUCGGUCAGCGCCCACGCUGCGGCCGCUGCGAUCGCGGAGCUCCCCAAGUCGUGCGCGGACGCAGUGAAGGCGCCUUCGCAAGACGAUCAGCACAACAGGGAGGAGGCUCAGCGCAAUCAUAGUACACGCAAUGCACCAACUCUGGUGGGCGUUGAGAAAGACAAGGCGGCUGUCGGCACGAACGCGGACGCGGAUCAUGACGCAGAGGGGCCCACUACUGUCACGACGGCCGCGGCAGCCGUCGAUGAGAGUAGAAAGAGCAGGGACGGUGGUGGUGACGCUCGUGGGUACUUGGCCGACGCAGCGACAACGCCGAUGCCUACAGCUGGCAGUUCUGCUCCAGCUCCUGCUGCCGAUGAAAGUGAUGCGGUCGCUGCCGCUGUGGAGGUGCCCAAGGCGCCCACGCGGACGUCUCCGACAGACACCGACGUGGAGCUGCCGGCCUCCGCUGUCGGUGCCGAGGGGUUUGACACUCUGCCUGCCAGCGAAUCAGCUGCCGCCAAGGAAAAGAACAAGGAUGACUGCGACCACUCCCAGAACCACGCUACCGCCCCCGAUGCGUACCCAAUGGAGGCCGGCGACCUUGACACCAUUCCCACUGUCAUCGCCGUGGCUGCUCGUCAAGCUGCGGACAAGGUGGCCGACGAUUCGCCUGAGCAGGCGGCGCUGUCGCCGGAGGCGCCGCACACGGCCACCACGGCUCGACCAGCUGAGUAUCCCAUGGAAGCGCCACGAGCCCAGGGCGACGGUGACAUAGCGGGCGGGGCCAAGGUGCCCGGUGAGAGUACCCGCCUUUGCGAGAGCGCCGCCGAGGUCGUGGGCAUUGCCGCGCCUGACAGCACAAGUGGCCUAGGUGCCCACAUUGCGGCAGAAGAGGCUGUAGGGAAGACCCCGGCCAGUGAUUCAGCCGGCGAGCCGGUGGACGCCGGACAGUCCAACAGACAGCAGGAGGAAGCAGGCUGCACGCCAGAAGACGACACCCCUGAUACCAAUGUCUGCGGGGCACAGUUGGAGGCCAGUACCUGCGCCGAUGAUGUCCCUCUAUUACUCUCAGAGAAGCAGCCUUCCUCGGUAGCAGACGGCAUAGCAAUGAACGCCGAGGGCAAGCGCGAGGAGGGCGAAGAGGUGGACUUGGCCUGCCUGGCGGAGCCGGCGCUCCAGGCGUCAUCAGAGGUGUAUGGUGACGAACACCACGCUGUCGUAGGUGAUGGCAGCAAGGCUGCGUCGCCGCUACAACCUGAUCACAGCGCGGAGUUGAGUACUACCACUGAUAAUGAAGGAAACAAGGCAUCCAGCGAGGCAGGAACUUCAGCUACGCAGCGGCUAAAAAGAACGAGUGAUGCGUCAGGCUCACCGCAAGCCCUCGACUCCGACAGCGAUGACGAGUUGGCCAACGGUGUCGCGGUGGACAUGCUAUCGAGCGAGAGCGCGGCAGCGGAGAAGAACCCAUUCGGUGCGGCGACAGAAGCAAAAACCCUAGCAACGCAGCCAGAUGUAGCAGCGGCCGCUGCACCCGUCAUCCCAGUCGGCGAUUCGACUGCGUUUUUGAUGAUUGCUGCGGCGAAGUUGCUGCCCGCGCCUGUGAUUUCGGUGGCGACCCAGCGGGAGAAAGAUGAAGACCCGGAUGCGCCGCCGCAGGUGCUACAUCACCGCGCCGCCGCCGCAGCGGCGGCGGCGGUGGCGGCCAACGCCUUCUACGGCUUAUGGGAAGAGUCGAUGACGGAGGAUGGCACAGGUGACGGCGACGACGCCGGUGGCGCCGACCACGGCGACACAACCGCCGUGGGCGGGGAUGAAGAGGAAGGAGAUCAACAGGAUCGCAGUGCCACAUCCGAGGCUGUCACAACCGCCACGAUUACGACGAGUGAGGACGACAUUGAGGGGGCAGUGGAUGUACCCAUGGACGUCUUCCGCGACUCCCUCUCCCUCACAAACACGCCAACGCUGAUCCGCCGCGGCGAGGGGCGGGAUGAAAACACGUCGAUCGCCGCGACGGCGAGCUUGGCAGACGCGAUCGACAUGCUCACCCACACCAUCGGCUCCGACAUGUGCCUGCCGCCGGCGUCGCGUGCUGUGACACUUGCUGCUGAUCCUGACGCGGGCGUAGGCUCUACGGACGUACUCUUCCAUCUCCAUUACAAAGAGUUCUCAUCUGCAGUCGCCAUCAAGGCUACAGGAGGCGCAGCUGCGGCCGUUGGCGAUAUCGGCGUCGCCGCCGAGACAUCUGUCCAUAAUGCCGGAAACGAGGCGUCCGCGUUUUCUGCAGAAGUGGCACAGCGCCUCCAAGCUUCCUCGCGCGCAGCACAUUUCUUGUCGCCCGCGCCUGCAUCCUCACCACCAUCGGCGGCGUCACAGCCGGUCGCAUCGCCGAACGGGCCUACGGCGCAAACCACCGUGGACGCCAAUGCUGAUGGCGAUCGCUUCUCGAGCGGUUUGCGAGAGGCAGAGGCGUCGCCCGACGCCGUCAACGACGAGCCACGUGUGGAGCCACACAGUAGCGCCGCGACCCACGUGGACGGCCCCGUACUUCCGCUCUGUGAGGUGUCUGGUGACGGCGCAGCCGCCCUCAAGAUACCGAUGACCACAGCGGCUUUAGAGGUCGGCACGGCCGACGCCCCGCAGCCAUCGCCGUCGCUGCUGCGCCCCUUUGCGCCAACGUCGCAGACACCGAAGCCCGCAGCGCCGCUGUCACUCUCGCCGGCACAGGUACUAUCACUGCCCACGCCGUCGUUGCCACUGUCCCCGCCGCUCAGCGAAGGCGCCAUGAAGAAGACGAUGGUGCUGCUGGGCUUUCCCGGAUCGGCGUGGGAGUUCAUCAUGACCCACCACUACGAGGGUAUGCAUGACGCCUUCACGAAGGACUCUGCCGUGGCCGCCAACGUCCCCAUCUCCGCGAUUCAGGACGUGCGCUAUAGCAAGGGGAGCCUCAUGGUCGACCUGUAUGUGCUGCACCCGGCGAGUUCCAGUGGGGAUUUCAUUCGGGAUCGGAUGUCUAGCUACGCAUAUCCGACCCUCUGGGCCUUUUACGAGGUGAAGAAGCGCGAGAGGAAGCAGUUCCUGCACGGCCCCGGGAUGAGCGUAACGGGUGCAAUGCCGGCGCAGUCUCUGCCGCCGCUUUUAACGCCUACGCUUUCAUCACAGGAGGAGGUGAGCUGGACAGCCUCGUAGUCUGUGUGUGUGUGUGCCCAAAUGUGCGCGCAUGUGCUUGGCCGACGCGCUCUCGUGAUCUGUUCGGUAGAAUCUCUGUCGGAGAGGAGGCCACUUCUCACCCCGCGCCCUUUUCAUCUCUCGCUUGGUCGGAGCUGCCUCCUUUCUCUGCCUCUUUUGUCUGCGUUUCUCUUUGAUGGGUCUUUUUGUUUCCUCCUCGAUCUGCUUUCCCUCAGUGUCUGGGGCUUGCGUAUGCCGGCUUGAUGGCUCUUUCCAGAUAUACAUGUAUGUAUAUAUGUAUGUAUAUAUAUAUAUAUAUAUACAUAUUUUUUUUUACCCAUGUCGGUCUUCUCUGACACAUCCCCAUGUGGCGGCCGCCAUCCGACUCGACUACUCGGCACAGCCUUCUUGCCCCUCCUCCCAAGAAUCAUCAUCUCGCACUUUUUUGAGCUAUGGAAACGCCGUUCUCGUUCCUCCUCCACUCCCUCCCUUUUUCCCUUUUUGUCGUCUCUCGCCUCCUCCCUCGUGGCGGGCGCGGUCUUUUCCAG
RNAcentral lists this unclassified non-coding RNA (9139 nucleotides) under Leishmania donovani. RNAcentral's name for it is "gene:LdHU3.26.2840(CDS-product:hypothetical_prote in_conserved)". Lineage: Eukaryota; Euglenozoa; Kinetoplastea; Trypanosomatida; Trypanosomatidae. The record is from RNAcentral.